UCGUGUCAUUCUGUGGAGGGUUGUGACUACAUCUGUUUGACUGUCACUGCAUUGCUGUAUAGAUGUCGAUGUAUGGGAGCGAAGGCCCAUGUACAAAGGAAAAGGUGAUUGGGAGUGGCUGUCAAAGGAGUAUUUGAGUCCAGAACUGAGGGAAUGGGCUGUAGCAAGUGUGCCCCAUUUGGUUUACAUGGGUUCUUGUACGUAUGGUGCCAGUGGGCACAGAGGAGCUGUUUGCAUCCAUGAGAUCCUUAAGAGGCUUCAAGAGGUGCAGUUUGUGAAAGAAGGAUAGAUGUGAGGCCCCAUCUGGUGGAAAAAGAGUUUUGUGUGAAGAUGGUGGCCCAGUUGGGCAAAGAACAAGUGAAGUAGAAGUAUGCCUGUGGGGGACAUGAAGUACUUAUUCCCAAAAUGGAAGUGGAUUUGAUGU
Long non-coding RNA from Mauremys reevesii (Reeves's turtle), 424 nucleotides. RefSeq lists it as uncharacterized. The transcript has 4 exons. The record is from RefSeq and is a predicted model, not a curated record. NCBI's taxonomy places the organism in Eukaryota, Metazoa, Chordata, Testudines, Geoemydidae.